RNAcentral lists this ribosomal RNA (472 nucleotides) under uncultured bacterium. Its description in RNAcentral is "bacterial SSU rRNA". It matches the Rfam family "Bacterial small subunit ribosomal RNA", at positions 54 to 524 of the family's 1533-position model. The record is from RNAcentral.
CAUGCAGUCGAGCGGCAGCGCGGGGCACCUGGCGGCGAGCGGCGAACGGGUGAGUAAUGCAUCGGAACAUGUCCAUGUCGUGGGGGAUAGCCCGGCGAAAGCCGGAUUAAUACCGCAUACGCCCGAGAGGGGAAAGUGGGGGACCGCAAGGCCUCACGCGAUUGGGUUGGCCGAUGUCCGAUUAGCUAGUUGGCGGGGUAAAGGCCCACCAAGGCGAUGAUCGGUAGCUGGUCUGAGAGGAUGAUCAGCCACACUGGGACUGAGACACGGCCCAGACUCCUACGGGAGGCAGCAGUGGGGAAUUUUGGACAAUGGGGGCAACCCUGAUCCAGCCAUUCCGCGUGAGUGAAGAAGGCCUUCGGGUUGUAAAGCUCUUUUGUCCGGAACGAAACGGUGCUCGUGAAUAUCGAGCGCUACUGACGGUACCGGAAGAAUAAGCACCGGCUAACUACGUGCCAGCAGCCGCGGUAAU